RNAcentral lists this unclassified non-coding RNA (512 nucleotides) under Hevea brasiliensis (rubber tree). The record is from RNAcentral. Lineage: Eukaryota; Viridiplantae; Streptophyta; Magnoliopsida; Malpighiales; Euphorbiaceae.
AUAGCAAGCUUGUAAUUCAUCUUCUGGUAGGUAGAACCCAACAGUUCGACUAACCUUCUCUUGUAUACUUGGUAAAGGGGACCAUAAAAGCCCCACUCAUCUGAUUCAGCAGCUUUAACAUCAUCAUUCUUCAAUGCCUUCAAGACCAUGCAUGUGUACUCGCCGGUUACACUAUUUGGGGCAUUGCCUAUGAAAAAUGGAGCAAACUUAUGUUUUCUCCAAAAGCGGAAGAGAUCCAAUGUAAGUCCAAAUGAGACACCAAGGUAAUGGAGCCUUUCAGGCCGUCUUUCACCUAAAGGAACAAGCAAUGGAGGAAGAUCUGUUCUUGGUCUUAUAUUUUCUUCAAGCAAAGAUACCUCCUGAGCAGCUUCAGUUACAUUGACUUGAGGAGUCUCCAAUGUAUCUUCUGUCUCUACUUCGGAUAAUUGCGUAAACUGACCCUCAAAGUACCUAUUAAACACAUUCAGUAGAAAAAUGCAUAAUAUGUACUGAACUGAAAACACAUUAAUCUA